AGCAGCCGCGGUAAUUCCAGCUCCAAUAGCGUAUAUUAAAGUUGUUGCAGUUAAAAAGCUCGUAGUUGAACUUCGGGAUCAAUGGAUUGGUCAUGCCGAUGGUGUGUACUGGUCAUAUUGGUUCUCACCUUCUAAGGAACCAUAAUGUCAUUUAUUUGAUGUUGUGGGGAAUUAGGACUGUUACCUUGAAAAAAUUAGAGUGUUUAAAGCAGGCUAACGCUUGAAUACAUUAGCAUGGAAUAAUGAAAUAGGACAUCGCAUUCUAUUUUGUUGGUUUCUAGGAUCGAUGUAAUGAUUAAUAGGGAUAGUUGGGGGCAUUAGUAUUCAAUUGUCAGAGGUGAAAUUCUUGGAUUUAUUGAAGACUAACUACUGCGAAAGCAUUUGCCAAGGAUGUUUUCAUUAAUCAAGAACGAAAGUUAGGGGAUCGAAGACGAUCAGAUACCGUCGUAGUCUUAACCAUAAACUAUGCCGACUAGGGAUCGGAUGAUGUUGAUUUUUUUAAUGACU
Molecule: small RNA, 507 nt
Filed under: uncultured Glomus
Lineage: Eukaryota; Fungi; Glomeromycota; Glomeromycetes; Glomerales; Glomeraceae
Description: SSU rRNA
Rfam family: Eukaryotic small subunit ribosomal RNA
Source: RNAcentral